CAGGCUUAACACAUGCAAGUCGAGGGGCAGCGGGGAGGAAGCUUGCUUUCUCCGCCGGCGACCGGCGCACGGGUGAGUAACACGUAUGCAACCUGCCCCUGUCAGGGGGACAACCCGCCGAAAGGCGGGCUAAACCCGCGUACAUGCCACCGGGGCAUCCCGGAGGCAGGAAAGGCUUCGGCCGGACAGGGAUGGGCAUGCGGCGCAUUAGGCAGUAGGCGGGGUAACGGCCCACCUAACCGACGAUGCGUAGGGGUUCUGAGAGGAAGGUCCCCCACACUGGUACUGAGACACGGACCAGACUCCUACGGGAGGCAGCAGUGAGGAAUAUUGGUCAAUGGUCGGGAGACUGAACCAGCCAAGCCGCGUGAGGGAGGAAGGUACAGAGUAUCGUAAACCUCUUUUGUCAGGGAACAAAGGCGGGGACGUGUCCCCGGAUGAGUGUACCUGAAGAAAAAGCAUCGGCUAACUCCGUGCCAGCAGCCGCGGUAAUACGGAGGAUGCGAGCGUUAUCCGGAUUUAUUGGGUUUAAAGGGUGCGCAGGCGGUCUGUUAAGUCAGCGGUCAAAGCCCGGGGCUCAACCCCGGCCCGCCGUUGAAACUGGCAGUCUCGAGUUGGAGAGAAGUAUGCGGAAUGCGCGGUGUAGCGGUGAAAUGCAUAGAUAUCGCGCAGAACUCCGAUUGCGAAGGCAGCAUGCCGGCUCCACACUGACGCUGAGGCACGAAAGCGUGGGUAUCGAACAGGAUUAGAUACCCUGGUAGUCCACGCAGUAAACGAUGAAUGCUGGCUGUCCGGGGGGAUUGACCCCUGGGUGGCGAAGCGAAAGCGAUAAGCAUUCCACCUGGGGAGUACGCCGGCAACGGUGAAACUCAAAGGAAUUGACGGGGGCCCGCACAAGCGGAGGAACAUGUGGUUUAAUUCGAUGAUACGCGAGGAACCUUACCCGGGCUCAAACGGGGAGUGACUCAGGCAGAGACGCCUGUUUCCCACGGGACACUCCCCGAGGUGCUGCAUGGUUGUCGUCAGCUCGUGCCGUGAGGUGUCGGCUUAAGUGCCAUAACGAGCGCAACCCCCGCGUGCAGUUGCUAACAGAUAACGCUGAGGACUCUGCACGGACUGCCGGCGCAAGCCGCGAGGAAGGCGGGGAUGACGUCAAAUCAGCACGGCCCUUACGUCCGGGGCGACACACGUGUUACAAUGGGUGGUACAGCGGGAAGCCAGGCGGCGACGCCGAGCGGAACCCGAAAUCCACUCUCAGUUCGGAUCGGAGUCUGCAACCCGACUCCGUGAAGCUGGAUUCGCUAGUAAUCGCGCAUCAGCCAUGGCGCGGUGAAUACGUUCCCGGGCCUU
RNAcentral lists this ribosomal RNA (1350 nucleotides) under uncultured bacterium. RNAcentral's name for it is "partial 16S ribosomal RNA". It matches the Rfam family "Bacterial small subunit ribosomal RNA", at positions 43 to 1382 of the family's 1533-position model. The record is from RNAcentral.